CUACACAUGCAGUCGAGCGGUAGCACAGAGAGCUUGCUCUCGGGUGACGAGCGGCGGACGGGUGAGUAAUGUCUGGGAAACUGCCUGAUGGAGGGGGAUAACUACUGGAAACGGUAGCUAAUACCGCAUAACGUCGCAAGACCAAAGUGGGGGACCUUCGGGCCUCAUGCCAUCAGAUGUGCCCAGAUGGGAUUAGCUGGUAGGUGGGGUAACGGCUCACCUAGGCGACGAUCCCUAGCUGGUCUGAGAGGAUGACCAGCCACACUGGAACUGAGACACGGUCCAGACUCCUACGGGAGGCAGCAGUGGGGAAUAUUGCACAAUGGGCGCAAGCCUGAUGCAGCCAUGCCGCGUGUGUGAAGAAGGCCUUCGGGUUGUAAAGCACUUUCAGCGGGGAGGAAGGCGGUGAGGUUAAUAACCUCAUCGAUUGACGUUACCCGCAGAAGAAGCACCGGCUAACUCCGUGCCAGCAGCCGCGGUAAUACGGAGGGUGCAAGCGUUAAUCGGAAUUACUGGGCGUAAAGCGCACGCAGGCGGUCUGUCAAGUCGGAUGUGAAAUCCCCGGGCUCAACCUGGGAACUGCAUUCGAAACUGGCAGGCUAGAGUCUUGUAGAGGGGGGUAGAAUUCCAGGUGUAGCGGUGAAAUGCGUAGAGAUCUGGAGGAAUACCGGUGGCGAAGGCGGCCCCCUGGACAAAGACUGACGCUCAGGUGCGAAAGCGUGGGGAGCAAACAGGAUUAGAUACCCUGGUAGUCCACGCUGUAAACGAUGUCGAUUUGGAGGUUGUGCCCUUGAGGCGUGGCUUCCGGAGCUAACGCGUUAAAUCGACCGCCUGGGGAGUACGGCCGCAAGGUUAAAACUCAAAUGAAUUGACGGGGGCCCGCACAAGCGGUGGAGCAUGUGGUUUAAUUCGAUGCAACGCGAAGAACCUUACCUGGUCUUGACAUCCACAGAACUUUCCAGAGAUGGAUUGGUGCCUUCGGGAACUGUGAGACAGGUGCUGCAUGGCUGUCGUCAGCUCGUGUUGUGAAAUGUUGGGUUAAGUCCCGCAACGAGCGCAACCCUUAUCCUUUGUUGCCAGCGGUNNGGCCGGGAACUCAAAGGAGACUGCCAGUGAUAAACUGGAGGAAGGUGGGGAUGACGUCAAGUCAUCAUGGCCCUUACGACCAGGGCUACACACGUGCUACAAUGGCAUAUACAAAGAGAAGCGACCUCGCGAGAGCAAGCGGACCUCAUAAAGUAUGUCGUAGUCCGGAUUGGAGUCUGCAACUCGACUCCAUGAAGUCGGAAUCGCUAGUAAUCGUAGAUCAGAAUGCUACGGUGAAUACGUUCCCGGGCCUUGUACACACCGCCCGUCACACCAUGGGAGUGGGUUGCAAAAGAAGUAGGUAGCUUAACCUUCGGGAGGGCGCUACCACUU
This 1419-nucleotide ribosomal RNA is filed under the name Klebsiella variicola. Its description in RNAcentral is "bacterial SSU rRNA". It matches the Rfam family "Bacterial small subunit ribosomal RNA". The record is from RNAcentral. Lineage: Bacteria; Pseudomonadati; Pseudomonadota; Gammaproteobacteria; Enterobacterales; Enterobacteriaceae.